RNAcentral lists this ribosomal RNA (258 nucleotides) under uncultured bacterium. RNAcentral describes it as "partial 16S ribosomal RNA". It matches the Rfam family "Bacterial small subunit ribosomal RNA", at positions 103 to 354 of the family's 1533-position model. The record is from RNAcentral.
CGGGUGAGUAACACGUGAGUGACCUGCCUUUUAGACUGGAACAACUUACCGAAAGGUGAGCUAAUGCCGGAUGAGUUAUAUAAGUGCAUGUUUAUAUAGGAAAAGUUGGGGAGACCUGACGCUGAAAGAUGGACUCGCGUCCCAUUAGCUAGUUGGUAGGGUAAUGGCCUACCAAGGCGACGAUGGGUAGCCGGCCUGAGAGGGUGGCCGGUCACACUGGGACUGAGACACGGCCCAGACUCCUACGGAAGGCAGCAG